AGAGUUUGAUCAUGGCUCAGGACGAACGCUGGCGGCGUGCUUAACACAUGCAAGUCGAGCGGAAAGGCCCCUUUCGGGGGGUGCUCGAGUGGCGAACGGGUGAGUAACACGUGGGUGAUCUGCCCUGCACUUCGGGAUAAGCUUGGGAAACUGGGUCUAAUACCGGAUAGGACCGCAUGCUGCAUGGUGUGUGGUGGAAAGCGUUUUAGUGGUGUGGGAUGGGCCCGCGGCCUAUCAGCUUGUUGGUGGGGUGAUGGCCUACCAAGGCGACGACGGGUAGCCGGCCUGAGAGGGUGUCCGGCCACACUGGGACUGAGAUACGGCCCAGACUCCUACGGGAGGCAGCAGUGGGGAAUAUUGCACAAUGGGCGCAAGCCUGAUGCAGCGACGCCGCGUGGGGGAUGACGGCCUUCGGGUUGUAAACCUCUUUCACCAUCGACGAAGGCCUGCUUUUGGGUGGGUUGACGGUAGGUGGAGAAGAAGCACCGGCCAACUACGUGCCAGCAGCCGCGGUAAUACGUAGGGUGCGAGCGUUGUCCGGAAUUACUGGGCGUAAAGAGCUCGUAGGUGGUUUGUCGCGUUGUUCGUGAAAUUCCCUGGCUUAACUGGGGGCGUGCGGGCGAUACGGGCAGACUGGAGUACUGCAGGGGAGACUGGAAUUCCUGGUGUAGCGGUGGAAUGCGCAGAUAUCAGGAGGAACACCGGUGGCGAAGGCGGGUCUCUGGGCAGUAACUGACGCUGAGGAGCGAAAGCGUGGGGAGCGAACAGGAUUAGAUACCCCGGUAGUCC
This 789-nucleotide ribosomal RNA is filed under the name uncultured bacterium. RNAcentral describes it as "bacterial SSU rRNA". It matches the Rfam family "Bacterial small subunit ribosomal RNA", at positions 8 to 796 of the family's 1533-position model. The record is from RNAcentral.